Molecule: ribosomal RNA, 724 nt
Filed under: uncultured Fusobacterium sp.
Lineage: Bacteria; Fusobacteriati; Fusobacteriota; Fusobacteriia; Fusobacteriales; Fusobacteriaceae
Description: bacterial SSU rRNA
Rfam family: Bacterial small subunit ribosomal RNA
Source: RNAcentral
GAUGAACGCUGACAGAAUGCUUAACACAUGCAAGUCGACUCGAGUCUUCGGACUUGGGUGGCGCACGGGUGAGUAACGCGUAAAGAACUUGCCUCUUAGACCGGGACAACAUCUGGAAACGGAUGCUAAUACCGGAUAUUAUGGUUUUUUCGCAUGGAGGAAUCAUGAAAGCUAGAUGCGCUAAGAGAGAGCUUUGCGUCCCAUUAGCUAGUUGGUGAGGUAACGGCCCACCAAGGCAAUGAUGGGUAGCCGGCCUGAGAGGGUGAACGGCCACAGGGGGACUGAGACACGGCCCUUACUCCUACGGGAGGCAGCAGUGGGGAAUAUUGGACAAUGGACCACAAGUCUGAUCCAGCAAUUCUGUGUGCACGAUGACGUUUUUCGGAAUGUAAAGUGCUUUCAGUCGGGAAGAAGUCAGUGACGGUACCGACAGAAGAAGCGACGGCUAAAUACGUGCCAGCAGCCGCGGUAAUACGUAUGUCGCAAGCGUUAUCCGGAUUUAUUGGGCGUAAAGCGCGUCUAGGCGGCAAGGAAAGUCUGAUGUGAAAAUGCGGAGCUCAACUCCGUAUGGCGUUGGAAACUGCCUUACUAGAGUACUGGAGAGGUAGGCGGAACUACAAGUGUAGAGGUGAAAUUCGUAGAUAUUUGUAGGAAUGCCGAUGGGGAAGCCAGCCUACUGGACAGAUACUGACGCUAAAGCGCGAAAGCGUGGGUAGCAAACAGG